This 253-nucleotide ribosomal RNA is filed under the name uncultured bacterium. RNAcentral describes it as "partial 16S ribosomal RNA". It matches the Rfam family "Bacterial small subunit ribosomal RNA", at positions 524 to 776 of the family's 1533-position model. The record is from RNAcentral.
UACGAAGGGGGCUAGCGUUGUUCGGAAUUACUGGGCGUAAAGGGCGCGUAGGCGGCCUGCUAAGUCGGACGUGAAAUCCCUCGGCUCAACCGAGGAACUGCGUCCGAUACUGGUGGGCUUGAAUCCGGGAGAGGGAUGUGGAAUUCCCGGUGUAGCAGUGAAAUGCGUAGAUAUCGGGAGGAAUACCGAUGGCGAAGGCAGGUCUCUGGGCUAUAACUGACGCUCAUGCACGAAAGCGUGGGGAGCAAACAGG